CUACGUGCCAGCAGCCGCGGUAAUACGGAAGGUCCAGGCGUUAUCCGGAUUUAUUGGGUUUAAAGGGAGCGUAGGCGGAUUGUUAAGUCAGCGGUUAAAGGGUGUGGCUCAACCAUACAUUGCCGUUGAAACUGGCGAUCUUGAGUGCAGACAGGGAUGCCGGAAUUCGUGGUGUAGCGGUGAAAUGCUUAGAUAUCACGAAGAACUCCGAUCGCGAAGGCAGGUGUCCGGGCUGCAACUGACGCUGAAGCACGAAAGCGUGGGUAUCAAACAGGAUUAGAUACCCUGGUAGUCCACGCAGUAAACGAUGAUAACUGGGCGUAUGCGAUAUACAGUAUGCUCCUAAGCGAAAGCGUUAAGUUAUCCACCUGGGGAGUACGCCGGCAACGGUGAAACUCAAAGGAAUUGACGGGGGCCCGCACAAGCGGAGGAACAUGUGGUUUAAUUCGAUGAUACGCGAGGAACCUUACCCGGGAUUGAA
This 481-nucleotide ribosomal RNA is filed under the name uncultured bacterium. RNAcentral describes it as "bacterial SSU rRNA". It matches the Rfam family "Bacterial small subunit ribosomal RNA", at positions 501 to 985 of the family's 1533-position model. The record is from RNAcentral.